This 69-nucleotide transfer RNA is filed under the name Polylabroides guangdongensis. RNAcentral's name for it is "tRNA-Asn". The record is from RNAcentral. Lineage: Eukaryota; Metazoa; Platyhelminthes; Monogenea; Mazocraeidea; Microcotylidae.
GUACUCAUAGAUUAUAUUUAAAUCGUAAGGCUGUUAACUUUAAGAAACAUAUUAAACUUGUUGUGUACG